GAUGAACGCUGGCGGCGUGCCUAAUACAUGCAAGUCGAGCGAACGGACGAGAAGCUUGCUUCUCUGAUGUUAGCGGCGGACGGGUGAGUAACACGUGGAUAACCUACCUAUAAGACUGGGAGAACUUCGGGAAACCGGAGCUAAUACCGGAUAAUAUUUUGAACCGCAUGGUUCAAAAGUGAAAGACGGUCUUGCUGUCACUUAUAGAUGGAUCCGCGCUGCAUUAGCUAGUUGGUAUGGUAACGGCUUACCAAGGCAACGAUGCAUAGCCGACCUGAGAGGGUGAUCGGCCACACUGGAACUGAGACACGGUCCAGACUCCUACGGGAGGCAGCAGUAGGGAAUCUUCCGCAAUGGGCGAAAGCCUGACGGAGCAACGCCGCGUGAGUGAUGAAGGUCUUCGGAUCGUAAAACUCUGUUAUUAGGGAAGAACAUAUGUGUAAGUAACUGUGCACAUCUUGACGGUACCUAAUCAGAAAGCCACGGCUAACUACGUG
RNAcentral lists this ribosomal RNA (497 nucleotides) under uncultured bacterium. RNAcentral describes it as "partial 16S ribosomal RNA". It matches the Rfam family "Bacterial small subunit ribosomal RNA", at positions 28 to 507 of the family's 1533-position model. The record is from RNAcentral.